GACCAGCGUUUGCAACCACUCGUCACCUGAACGUCUGCUAAUCACUGUUAGUGCUAAUCUGUUCAUGUCUCUUGCUGUUCGUAUUUGUGCUAACCUGAUUCUCUGUCUUCAGGUAAAUCCACGGACCACGCCUGCAAACUGUCACCGUUAAUUCAGUCUGGUCACUAGUCGCUUCUGCCAACCCACUCCACUGCCGCCCCGGUAUGGAUCUCUCUACUUUUCCUCACCUGCCUGCUCCCCCCGCCGCAGCGUCAGACCCCAUUUGGAUUCACGACGUCGCAAACUCACCUGGACCUAGCCUCGCUCCAAAGCAGUCUCCACCUGCUGACAAAGGCCCAGCACCCUCUGACUUCCAUUGGACUUUUGGAUCCCCGUUAAUGUCUUAAGAAUCCCUCCAGCCUUAGUGUCAUAGUUCCCACAGUCAUAGUCUCCCGGCCCCUGUUCAUAGUCACAGUCUACUGCUAGUGAAUAUCAUGGACGAUCUGAUAUCCUCGUGUUGGCGUUGUUCCCACAUCAUCAUAAUAAAUGUUGUUCCAGGUUCAACAUUGCAAGUGGCCAAUCACUUUCUUGUGAUGUCAUACUUCUGCGACUUCGAAAUACCCGCCUUAAAACAAAUUUUCUUCACUUGUGCCCGCCUCUGUCAAUCCAGCGCUCCACUUCACUUGCGAGAAACCGCCGCCUGUCCGCCGAAUUUGAAGUCCUUUUAGGAUACUUUUCUUUAAUAAACGAAACUGCGACUCCUUCACAAUGUCAGAUUACCUUGUGGGAGUAGCUGGACCAAACUCUAUUGGUAUUUCAAGUUUGAAAUCCCUGUUUGACCAGACAAACAUUUCAGAUGAGAAAAACAUCUUUCAGAUGUAUGAGAAAUUGAUUGGAGCCUGUCUGGAAAAUGGCAGCCACUGGACCUUGUUUGUCUGACUGCUGUAUCCUGACGUCGUGGGAAGCCAGCACCGAAGUCUGUCGACAGCCCUCUCUGGGUAGAGGUGAAAGUCCUGGAACGUCAGAAUUCGGGUCCAGGCCGGUGGUUUAGUUCUGGUCCAUGACGCUGGGAUCCAGCCAGACGGCCUGAACAACCAGCUAAAGACGACUGAAGGUGAGAAAACACUGUUUGGUCUUAAACCGCUGGAAGGGUUUAGAAGAAUGCGCAAAAUAGGUUUGCUGUAGCCGGAAUUACUUCGUGAAAUGCGCAAAAUAGGUUUGCUGUAGCCGGAAUUACUUCGUGAUACGCGUAAAAUAGGUUGGAAGUAGCCGCAAUUACUUCAUAAAA
Molecule: long non-coding RNA, 1267 nt
Organism: Oreochromis niloticus (Nile tilapia)
Lineage: Eukaryota; Metazoa; Chordata; Actinopteri; Cichliformes; Cichlidae
Exons: 6
Source: RefSeq, a predicted model, not a curated record